RNAcentral lists this ribosomal RNA (274 nucleotides) under uncultured bacterium. RNAcentral describes it as "partial 16S ribosomal RNA". It matches the Rfam family "Bacterial small subunit ribosomal RNA", at positions 523 to 796 of the family's 1533-position model. The record is from RNAcentral.
AUACGGAGGGAGCGAGCGUUAAUCGGAAUUACUGGGCGUAAAGCGCGCGUAGGCGGCUUUGUAAGUCGGAUGUGAAAGCCCUGGGCUCAACCUGGGAAUGGCAUUCGAUACUGCAUAACUAGAGUAUGGUAGAGGGAAGUGGAAUUUCCGGUGUAGCGGUGAAAUGCGUAGAUAUCGGAAGGAACACCAGUGGCGAAGGCGACUUCCUGGGCCAAUACUGACGCUGAGGUGCGAAAGCGUGGGGAGCAAACAGGAUUAGAUACCCCGGUAGUCC